This is a non-coding RNA of Mustela putorius furo (domestic ferret), 136 nucleotides long. The record is from Rfam. NCBI's taxonomy places the organism in Eukaryota, Metazoa, Chordata, Mammalia, Carnivora, Mustelidae.
CAGGUGCUGGACCUGCCGGCACCCCGGGUCCAGCUGCUCUGCUGCACCUGGGCCCUCGGGGCAAAGAGCAAGCGGCUAUUUCUACGCUCAGUGCUCAGAACCGUGAGCGCUAAGAAUGCUUUGUAGCCGGACAUGC